Molecule: ribosomal RNA, 369 nt
Filed under: Escherichia coli
Lineage: Bacteria; Pseudomonadati; Pseudomonadota; Gammaproteobacteria; Enterobacterales; Enterobacteriaceae
Description: partial 23S ribosomal RNA
Rfam family: Bacterial large subunit ribosomal RNA
Source: RNAcentral
GGGUUGUGAGGUUAAGCGACUAAGCGUACACGGUGGAUGCCCUGGCAGUCAGAGGCGAUGAAGGACGUGCUAAUCUGCGAUAAGCGUCGGUAAGGUGAUAUGAACCGUUAUAACCGGCGAUUUCCGAAUGGGGAAACCCAGUGUGAUUCGUCACACUAUCAUUAACUGAAUCCAUAGGUUAAUGAGGCGAACCGGGGGAACUGAAACAUCUAAGUACCCCGAGGAAAAGAAAUCAACCGAGAUUCCCCCAGUAGCGGCGAGCGAACGGGGAGGAGCCCAGAGCCUGAAUCAGUGUGUGUGUUAGUGGAAGCGUCUGGAAAGGCGCGCGAUACAGGGUGACAGCCCCGUACACAAAAAUGCACAUGCUGU